RNAcentral lists this small RNA (5924 nucleotides) under Pongo abelii (Sumatran orangutan). RNAcentral describes it as "retained intron". The record is from RNAcentral. Lineage: Eukaryota; Metazoa; Chordata; Mammalia; Primates; Hominidae.
CAAGAAUCUGUUGAGAUCUCCAUCCAUCAAACUGCGCAGGAGUAAGGCAGGAAACCGACGAGAGGACCUCAGCUCCAAGGUGACCUUGGAGAAGGUGCUGGGAAUUACAGUGUCUGGAGGCAGAGGACUUGCCUGUGACCCCCGAUCAGGCUUAGUUGCUUACCCAGCAGGGUGUGUGGUUGUGUUGUUCAAUCCCCGGAAACACAAACAGCACCACAUCCUCAACAGUUCCAGGAAAACCAUCACUGCCCUUGCCUUCUCCCCUGAUGGCAAGUACUUGGUCACUGGAGAGAGUGGGCACAUGCCUGCCGUGCGGGUUUGGGACGUGGCAGAGCACAGCCAGGUGGCCGAGCUGCAGGAGCACAAGUAUGGUGUGGCUUGUGUGGCCUUCUCUCCUAGCGCCAAGUACAUUGUCUCUGUGGGCUACCAGCAUGACAUGAUCGUCAACGUGUGGGCCUGGAAGAAAAACAUUGUGGUGGCCUCCAACAAGGUGUCCAGUCGGGUGACAGCAGUGUCCUUCUCUGAGGAUUGCAGCUACUUUGUCACUGCAGGCAACCGGCACAUCAAAUUCUGGUAUCUUGAUGACAGCAAGACCUCAAAGGUGAGGUGCUGAAGCUGGGAGUAGCCACCAAGGCCCUUGGCAGGGCCUGCCCAGCCCACCCCAGGAGACUCUGCCCGACUUGGGCCUCUCUCUGCAUUCCCAGCAGUCAUGCAGAAGUUUUGGAUGAGCCAGAUGCUGUCUGGGCUGAGGAGUAGGCCCAAAGAGCAAGGGGGUGCUGGAGGCGUCCCCUGUACUCUCCUAGGGCCUAGUUUCCAGGGGCAGGCUCUGGGGUGGAUGGGGGUAUAACAGUGGUGUGCCUCCACAGGUGAAUGCCACUGUGCCCUUGCUGGGCCGCUCAGGGCUGCUGGGAGAGCUACGGAACAACCUGUUCACUGAUGUGGCCUGUGGCAGAGGAAAGAAGGCGGACAGUACCUUCUGCAUCACGUCCUCAGGGCUGCUGUGCGAGUUCAGUGAUCGAAGGCUUUUGGACAAGUGGGUGGAGCUGAGGACCACAGUGGCCCACUGCAUCUCUGUGAGCCAAGACUACAUCUUCUGUGGCUGUGCUGAUGGCACCGUGCGCCUUUUCAACCCCUCUAACCUGCACUUCCUUAGCACCUUGCCCCGACCCCAUGCUCUGGGGACAGACAUUGCUAGCGUCACCGAGGCCAGUCGCCUCUUCUCUGGAGUGGCCAAUGCCAGGUAUCCAGACACCAUUGCCUUGACCUUUGAUCCUACUAAUCAGUGGCUGUCUUGUGUGUACAACGAUCAUAGCAUUUAUGUUUGGGAUGUGAGGGACCCCAAGAAAGUGGGCAAGGUGUACUCGGCUCUGUAUCAUUCUUCCUGCGUCUGGAGUGUGGAGGUCUACCCCGAGGUGAAGGACAGUAACCAGGCCUGCCUGCCCCCCAGUUCCUUUAUUACCUGCUCCUCAGACAACACCAUCCGCCUGUGGAACACAGAGAGCUCCGGGGUGCAUGGCUCCACCCUCCACCGAAACAUCCUCAGCAGUGUGAGCCCUGAGGCUGUGGGGCCCCGCUUCACCCUCAGUGCCCCCAUCCCCACAGCUAUUGCACCUUGUUACUGGGAACUGGGUCCCUAGGCCUUGGCCUUCCAGCCUUCAUUUGGCUGUGCUCUGUGGUCCAAGGGUUUGUUUUGCUCAGCUUUCUUGCCCCUUGCAGCUGUACUGGUCAGGCCUGCCUCAUCCAGCUUUUCUAACCUGUUCCACUAGGACCUCAUUAAAAUCAUCUAUGUGGAUGGGAACACCCAGGCCCUGCUGGACACAGAGCUGCCUGGAGGAGACAAAGCUGAUGCAUCCCUGUUGGAUCCCCGCGUGGGCAUCCGCUCGGUGUGUGUCAGCCCCAAUGGACAGCAUCUAGCAUCAGGGGACCGUAUGGGCACACUUAGGGUGCACGAACUUCAGUCCCUGAGUGAGAUGCUGAAGGUGGAGGCCCAUGACUCUGAGAUUCUGUGCCUGGAGUAUUCUAAGCCAGACACAGGUCUGAAACUGCUAGCGUCAGCGAGCCGGGACCGGCUGAUCCACGUGCUGGAUGCCGGGAGGGAGUACAGCCUACAGCAGACGCUGGACGAACACUCAUCCUCCAUCACUGCUGUCAAGUUUGCAGCCAGUGAUGGGCAAGUCCGCAUGAUCAGCUGUGGAGCAGACAAGAGCAUCUACUUCCGCACUGCGCAGAAGUCUGGAGAUGGAGUGCAGUUCACACGGACACACCACGUGGUGCGGAAGACGACCCUCUAUGACAUGGAUGUGGAGCCCAGCUGGAAGUACACGGCCAUCGGCUGCCAGGACCGAAAUAUUCGGAUAUUUAACAUCAGCAGUGGAAAGCAGAAGAAGCUGUUUAAAGGGUCACAGGGUGAGGACGGCACACUCAUUAAGGUGCAGACAGACCCCUCAGGGAUCUACAUUGCCACCAGCUGUUCUGACAAGAAUCUCUCCAUUUUUGACUUCUCCUCAGGCGAGUGCGUGGCCACCAUGUUUGGCCACUCAGAGAUUGUCACUGGCAUGAAAUUUAGUAAUGAUUGCAAACAUCUCAUCUCUGUGUCUGGGGACAGCUGCAUAUUUGUGUGGCGCCUGAGCUCUGAGAUGACCAUCAGCAUGAGGCAGCGUCUGGCCGAGCUGCGCCAGCGUCAGCAGGGCGGCAAGCAGCAAGGACCAUCCUCUCCCCAAAGGGCUUCUGGACCCAACCGGCACCAGGCCCCAUCGAUGCUCUCUCCUGGACCAGCUCUGUCAUCAGACAGUGACAAGGAGGGAGAAGAUGAGGGGACUGAAGAAGAACUUCCAGCACUGCCCGUCCUUGCCAAGAGUACCAAGAAGGCACUGGGUCUGUGGCAGUUGGGUGUGGGGGCAGACAGGCCCUAGUUGGUAUAAUGGCUAGAUAUGGUUUUUCUGAGACUGUGGGGUGAGAGCAGUGUGAGCUGAGGAAACUGAGGCAUUAUUGUGGCCACAGAGGGUAUGGGCUGAUGGGGCCAGGGCUCCAGGGUUGGGGGGCGGGGCAGGAGACACUUCCUCUGACUGCCUGUUUCUGUCUAGCCUCGGUCCCCAGCCCAGCCUUGCCCCGAAGCCUGUCCCACUGGGAGAUGAGUCGGGCACAGGAGCCCGUGGGGUUCCUGGACCCAGCUCCUGCAGCCAACCCAGGACCCAGAAGAAGGGGGCGCUGGGUUCAGCCAGGUGUGGAACUGAGCGUUAGAUCCAUGCUGGAUCUGCGGCAGCUGGAAACACUGGCCCCAAGCCCGCAGGACCCUAGCCAGGACUUGCUGGCCAUCAUCCCAUCUGGUCCCAGAAAGCAUGGGCAGCAGGCCCUUGAGACUUCACUCACUAGCCAGAAUGAAAAGCCCCCUCGGCCUCAGGCUUCCCAACCUUGUUCCUAUCCCCAUAUUAUCCGAUUAUUGUCACAAGAGGAAGGGGUCUUUGCCCAAGAUCUGGAACCUGCACCCGUUGAAGAUGGUAUUGUCUACCCGGAACAGAGUGACAGCCCCACCAUGGACACCAGUGAGUUCCAGGUGCAGGCUCCAGCCCGGGGAACUCUGGGAAGAGUGUACCCAGGCAGCAGGAGCUCAGAAAAGCACAGCCCUGACAGUGCCUGCUCUGUGGAUUACAGCAGCAGCUGCCUUUCCAGCCCGGAGCAUCCCACUGAAGACUCUGAGAGCACGGAGCCCCUCAGUGUGGAUGGCAUCUCCUCAGACCUUGAAGAGCCAGCUGAGGGCGAUGAAGAAGAGGAAGAGGAGGGAGGCAUGGGCCCCUAUGGGCUACAGGAGGGCAGCCCCCAGACUCCAGACCAGGAGCAGUUUCUAAAACAGCACUUUGAGACUCUGGCCAAUGGAGCUGCUCCAGGGGCCCCAGUGAAGGUGCCAGAGAGGUCAGAGUCUCGGAGUAUCUCUUCACGAUUCCUGUUGCAAGUACAGACCCGCCCACUCAGGGAACCAUCCCCGUCCUCCUCAAGCCUGGCACUGAUGUCGAGACCAGCCCAGGUGCCACAGGCAUCUGGUGAGCAGUCGAGAGGCAAUGGUGCCAAUCCCCCUGGAGCACCCCCGGAGGUGGAACCGUCCUCUGGCAACCCCAGCCCCCAGGAGGCAGCCUCUGUGCUGUUGCCACGAUGCCGUCUCAACCCUGACAGCAGCUGGGCUCCCAAGAGAGUGGCCAUAACCAGCCCCUUAUCUGGACUCCAGAAGGCCCAGUCUGUGCACAGUCUGGUGCCACAGGAAAGAGAUGAGGCCGGUCUGCAGGCCCCUUCACCAGGCGCACUGCUCUCCCGGGAGAUCGAAGCUCAGGAUGGUCUGGGCUCCCUGCCCUCAGCUGAUGGCCGUCCAUCUCGGCCUCACUCCUAUCAGAACCCCACCACCAGUUCCAUGGCCAAGAUAUCCCGCAGUAUCUCUGUUGGGGAGAACCUGGGCCUGGUGGCUGAACCUCAGGCUCAUGCCCCCAUCCGAGUCUCACCACUCAGCAAGCUGGCCCUGCCUAGCCGGGCUCACCUGGUCCUGGACAUCCCCAAACCACUGCCUGACCGUCCUACCCUGGCUGCAUUCUCUCCUGUCACCAAAGGCCGGGCGCCUGGCGAGGCAGAAAAGCCUGGCUUCCCAGUGGGCCUAGGAAAAGCUCACAGUACCACUGAGAGAUGGGCCUGUUUGGGGGAGGGCACCACUCCCAAGCCUAGGACAGAGUGCCAGGCUCAUCCUGGGCCCAGCAGCCCCUGUGCCCAGCAACUGCCAGUCAGCAGCCUCCUCCAAGGCCCUGAAGACUUGCAGCCCCCACCCCCUGAGAAGACUCCCAACCCCAUGGAAUGCACCAAGCCAGGGGCAGCCCUGAGCCAGGACUCAGAGCCAGCGGUGAGCCUGGAGCAGUGUGAGCAGCUGGUGGCAGAGCUCCGCGGCAGCGUGCGCCAGGCCGUGCGGCUCUACCACUUGGUGGCUGGCUGCAAGAUGCCCUCAGCAGAGCAAAGUCGGAUCACCCAGCUCCUCAGAGACACCUUCUCUUCAGUGCGACAGGAGCUGGAAGCUGUGGCUGGGGCAGUGCUGUCCAGCCCAGGCAGCAGCCCUGGGGCUGUGGGAGCCGAGCAGACACAGGCCCUGCUGGAGCAAUACUCAGAACUGUUGCUUCGAGCCGUGGAACGGCGCAUGGAACGCAAACUCUGAGUUCUGGAAGCCUGUCCCAAGUGAAUGAAUGCCCCAGCGAUUCCAAACUGCAGCCCCUCUGCCACUCACCAAAACCUGCGGGGCUGCUUGGAGUGGAAAGCAGGGAGCAGUGUUCAGAGGCAAAGCACCCUUCCCAGCCGCUCCUCAUGGGGGGCCUGUAUUUAUUAAUUUAUUUCCCUGACUGUUGCCUCACUUCCUUGGAAUUCCUGCCUCCACAGCCCCUCCAGUGGCAGGGACAGGUCUUGGGUCUUUGUCACCUUGGUGCUGUGAGAGGUAGGAGGGCAGCCUGCCCCAUCUAGGAAUCUGGGAAGGGCUGGCCCUCUCUUAGAAGCCAUUUGAAAUUACUGCAGGGAUCAGCUCCCUGUGGUGGAGCAUACACAGGGUACUCUGGGGUCGAGGUGAGAGGUGAUGUGGUAUUCAGUGCCUGUCAGCCAACUGUGGGCCUUCACCUCUACCUCCACUUCCCCUCUCACACCAGCUGCACUCCCCUGGCUGCCAGAGCAGGGUGGUUUUCCCCAGUACCUGGCAGCUCAGAAAGGCAGAGCCGUCUGGCCCUCCAGGGUGUCCCCAGCCAUCAGGAGACUUGAGUUGGUAUUUGGACCUGAGCCCGCACAUUCCACUCCCAUUCUCCCUCCAAGAGGGGCCCAGCAUUGUAUUUCCCUGUGACCCCUUACUCUCCAGGCCAGAACUUGAGCCAGCUGUGGGAUGUUGCUGCAGGACAGUAAGCCCUCACCUGGGCAGA